UGUAAACUGUUAAAAGACAAAAAACAAAACU
RNAcentral lists this non-coding RNA (31 nucleotides) under Rattus norvegicus (Norway rat). Lineage: Eukaryota; Metazoa; Chordata; Mammalia; Rodentia; Muridae. The record is from RNAcentral.